RNAcentral lists this non-coding RNA (1120 nucleotides) under Paracellulophaga tyrosinoxydans. Its description in RNAcentral is "Cellulophaga tyrosinoxydans Bacterial small subunit ribosomal RNA". It matches the Rfam family "Bacterial small subunit ribosomal RNA", at positions 1 to 1126 of the family's 1533-position model. The record is from Rfam by way of RNAcentral. Lineage: Bacteria; Pseudomonadati; Bacteroidota; Flavobacteriia; Flavobacteriales; Flavobacteriaceae.
ACGAUGAAGAGUUUGAUCCUGGCUCAGGAUGAACGCUAGCGGCAGGCCUAACACAUGCAAGUCGAGGGGUAACAGGGAGCUUGCUCCGCUGACGACCGGCGCACGGGUGCGCAACGCGUAUGCAAUCUACCUCUUACUAGGGGAUAGCCCAGAGAAAUUUGGAUUAAUACCCUAUAUUAUAUGGAGUCGGCAUCGGCAUUAUAUUAAAGGUUACGGUAAGAGAUGAGCAUGCGUCCCAUUAGUUAGUUGGUAAGGUAACGGCUUACCAAGACUUCGAUGGGUAGGGGUCCUGAGAGGGAGAUCCCCCACACUGGUACUGAGACACGGACCAGACUCCUACGGGAGGCAGCAGUGAGGAAUAUUGGACAAUGGGCGGAAGCCUGAUCCAGCCAUGCCGCGUGCAGGAAGACUGCCCUAUGGGUUGUAAACUGCUUUUAUACGGGAAGAAUAAGGUCUACGUGUAGACUGAUGACGGUACCGUAAGAAUAAGGACCGGCUAACUCCGUGCCAGCAGCCGCGGUAAUACGGAGGGUCCGAGCGUUAUCCGGAAUUAUUGGGUUUAAAGGGUCCGUAGGCGGGCUGUUAAGUCAGGGGUGAAAGUUUGCAGCUCAACUGUAAAAUUGCCUUUGAUACUGGCGGUCUUGAGUUAUAUUGAAGUGGCUAGAAUAUGUAGUGUAGCGGUGAAAUGCAUAGAUAUUACAUAGAAUACCGAUUGCGAAGGCAGGUCACUAAGUAUUAACUGACGCUGAUGGACGAAAGCGUGGGUAGCGAACAGGAUUAGAUACCCUGGUAGUCCACGCCGUAAACGAUGGAUACUAGCUGUGUGGUUUUCGGACUGCGCGGCCAAGCGAAAGUGAUAAGUAUCCCACCUGGGGAGUACGUUCGCAAGAAUGAAACUCAAAGGAAUUGACGGGGGCCCGCACAAGCGGUGGAGCAUGUGGUUUAAUUCGAUGAUACGCGAGGAACCUUACCAGGGCUUAAAUGUAGAUUGACAGGUUUAGAGAUAGACUUUCCUUCGGGCAAUUUACAAGGUGCUGCAUGGUUGUCGUCAGCUCGUGCCGUGAGGUGUCAGGUUAAGUCCUAUAACGAGCGCAACCCCUGUCGUUAGUUGCCAGCAUGU